RNAcentral lists this ribosomal RNA (225 nucleotides) under uncultured bacterium. RNAcentral describes it as "partial 16S ribosomal RNA". It matches the Rfam family "Bacterial small subunit ribosomal RNA", at positions 109 to 334 of the family's 1533-position model. The record is from RNAcentral.
AGUAACGCGUGGGCAACCUGCCUCAUACAGGGGGAUAACAGUUAGAAAUGACUGCUAAUACCGCAUAAGCGCACAGCAUCGCAUGAUGCCGUGUGAAAAACUCCGGUGGUAUGAGAUGGACCCGCGUCUGAUUAGGUAGUUGGUGGGGUAACGGCCUACCAAGCCGACGAUCAGUAGCCGACCUGAGAGGGUGACCGGCCACAUUGGGACUGAGACACGGCCCAA